This is a long non-coding RNA of Salvia miltiorrhiza (redroot sage), 542 nucleotides long. RefSeq lists it as uncharacterized. The record is from RefSeq and is a predicted model, not a curated record. NCBI's taxonomy places the organism in Eukaryota, Viridiplantae, Streptophyta, Magnoliopsida, Lamiales, Lamiaceae. The transcript has 2 exons.
CUCUCUCCCCCCCCCCCCCAUUCACACGCCUACUCUCUCUCUCUCUUACCUCUAUCUCUUUUCCCUUUCUACCACCAUGGAUAACCAUUCUCAAAGCUUCCAAGAUCAUUUCUAUACCAAGAAACUCCAUCAAAUCAAGUCUUAAACAUCUAUAUUCCUUGAAUCAAGAACUAGUUUGGAGGGAUUUUCAAGCUUGAAGCAAAAGAGAAGAUUUUUAUCCUUCCUUAAAUAAUUGAGAUAAGCGAGGAGGAGGAAGAUCGGUCUGGUGCUGGCGGGGACUUUUUGGACGACGUUGUUUCUUUUACCGUAUUCCUACGUCAUACGGUAGCCUUUUGAGGUUGGAUGUGUAUAUUUUGAACUUAUUCAGGAAAUACACUCUCGGCUAUAUGUCUUCAUACAUAUAGUCUGAUCACGUUUUGCUGCGAGACUCUGUAAAUUAUAAACCUUUGUAAAUUUUUAACUAUGCCCGCUUUGUAAACUUUGUCGAGAAUCUCUGUACUUUUGAACUUAUGAAGCCGAUAAUAUUUGUGUCUUUGAGAUGA